CUGCCCCGGGAACUGCAGAAGAUGCAAGGAGGCCGGCAGUUUGCCAGCGACUAUUGGUUUUCCUUUUCUUCUUCUCCUUGAUGGGCCUGCUCUCGUCACAUCUGACCUCAAAUAGCGCCACAGACCCACUGAAGGCUUUCCACAUUUGUGCAGCAAUCCUCGAGUGUUUAGAGAAGAGGAAGAUAUCCUGGCUGGCACUCUUCCAGUUGACAGAGAGUGGUAAGAAACACGCUGCUGAGGCGCAAAUGCGGAGGGCCGCUCUUUUCAGAGGCAACUUUCAAAUGGUUAAGAACGAGCCCUCCUUUGAGGUUCACUAAUUCAUUUCUAUGAGUUUAUGCUCUUGCUAAGUUGAUAAGCUCCAUUUUAGUUGGGACAGAUUAAGUACAAACUUGUUUAAAGCAAUAAGAUAAUUUAUUGGCUCACGGGUCAACCCCAGGACCAAUGGGCCUAUCGUGGGGACUGCCUCUGUCUGUACCACACCCACCCUAGUGCGAGAGGGCGACCCCCCCAUCCUCUCCCAGCUGCUGACAGGUACCCGGGUAUCCUCAGCUCAGGCUGUUCGCCCCAUACUAUCCCCACAGCCAGACCUCCCAGGGUACACGUCCCGACCCCCAGGGGUGUCCCUAGCACUGAUAAUAAACAGAGAUGUCCAGAGUUGCCUGAGCUGCCUCUUGGUGUUGCAGACCUCAUGCUGGGGCGGCUCCUCCUCCGCGUGGCCCCGGAUCAGCACACCAGGCUGCUGCCUUUCGCUUUCUACAGGUACCUUCACCCACAGGGCUUGUCAGGGCUGGGGCAGUGUUUCCCAGACCCCCAUCUUAGCACCUCUGGGUCCCGCCAGAUGGGAAGGGUUGCCUGUGCCUCUGCUCCACAGAUGA
RNAcentral lists this small RNA (875 nucleotides) under Pongo abelii (Sumatran orangutan). RNAcentral's name for it is "retained intron". Lineage: Eukaryota; Metazoa; Chordata; Mammalia; Primates; Hominidae. The record is from RNAcentral.